Molecule: ribosomal RNA, 271 nt
Filed under: uncultured archaeon
Lineage: Archaea
Description: partial 16S ribosomal RNA
Rfam family: Archaeal small subunit ribosomal RNA
Source: RNAcentral
CAGCGCCCCAAGUGGCAGCCGCGUUUAUUGGGCCUAAAGCGUUCGUAGCCGGUUAAGUUAAUCUCUUGUGAAAUUGUCAAGCCCAACUUGACACCGUGCAGGAGACACUGCUUAACUAGGAACCGGGAGGAGUCAGAAGUAUUCCAGGGGGAGCGGUAAAAUGUUAUAAUCCUUGGAAGACUACCUGUGGCGAAGGCGUCUGACCAGAACGGAUUCGACGGUGAGGAACGAAAGCUAGGGGAGCAAAACGGAUUAGAUGCCCGAGUAGUCC